This is a non-coding RNA of Mycena latifolia, 93 nucleotides long. Lineage: Eukaryota; Fungi; Basidiomycota; Agaricomycetes; Agaricales; Mycenaceae. The record is from the annotation of a GenBank genome assembly.
UCGGACAUGGUGUACGGUACACAGCCUCCUCUCUUCCGGUCGAUAUUGCCGAGUUGCACGAGGCAGUCCGGGGUUCGACUCCCCGUGUCCGAA